Caenorhabditis elegans is the source of this 21-nucleotide non-coding RNA. Lineage: Eukaryota; Metazoa; Nematoda; Chromadorea; Rhabditida; Rhabditidae. The record is from Ensembl.
UUCUUGAUUUCUUCGCGAAGA